GACGAACGCUGGCGGCGUGCUUAACACAUGCAAGUCAAACGGAAAGGCCCUGCUUUUGUGGGGUGCUCGAGUGGCGAACGGGUGAGUAACACGUGAGUAACCUGCCCUUGACUUUGGGAUAACUUCAGGAAACUGGGGCUAAUACCGGAUAGGAGUUCCUGCUGCAUGGUGGGGGUUGGAAAGUUUCGGCGGUUGGGGAUGGACUCGCGGCUUAUCAGCUUGUUGGUGGGGUAGUGGCUUACCAAGGCUUUGACGGGUAGCCGGCCUGAGAGGGUGACCGGCCACAUUGGGACUGGGAUACGGCCCAGACUCCUACGGGAGGCAGCAGUGGGGAAUAUUGCACAAUGGGCGGAAGCCUGAUGCAGCAACGCCGCGUGCGGGAUGACGGCCUUCGGGUUGUAAACCGCUUUCGCCUGUGACGAAGCGUGAGUGACGGUAAUGGGUAAAGAAGCACCGGCUAACUACGUG
This 468-nucleotide ribosomal RNA is filed under the name uncultured bacterium. RNAcentral describes it as "partial 16S ribosomal RNA". It matches the Rfam family "Bacterial small subunit ribosomal RNA", at positions 28 to 507 of the family's 1533-position model. The record is from RNAcentral.